Molecule: long non-coding RNA, 3412 nt
Filed under: Mytilus galloprovincialis (Mediterranean mussel)
Lineage: Eukaryota; Metazoa; Mollusca; Bivalvia; Mytilida; Mytilidae
Source: RNAcentral
CAGUCAGAGCUCAGACAUAAACAAGUCGAUUUUUGUUUUUGACUUACAGAAGUCAAAACAUGUAUUUAUUAUAAAAAUGUGUUUUCAAUUUUAGACUUAUUUAAGUCAGAAAAUGACAGACUUGUUUAGGUCUAUUUAUGUUGAUGAAAAAACUUAAUUUGACUUGGUGGCCAAAGUGCACCUCCUAUGACAGCAAAAACCUAUCUGAGAGUUCACAAGGACUUGAGCUAUCUAUAUUUAAUUACCUAAUUGAACAUCCUUACUAAACACAGAGGUUUUAUCUCAUUAACUGUGGCUCCAGGUGGUUGCAUUGUAAGGUUAAUUUACAUUAUCUCCGAUUUUUUAGACUCUCAUUCAUAUUUUUCUCUAGAAGACAAAGCAUUGUUUUUCAAUGUUGUCAUUAUUUGAUUUAGAUGCGUGACCUUUUUAUAAAUAUGCGUGGGUCUUGAAGUUUACCAAUUUUGGUAACUUAUCGACUUGUAGGAGUCGAUAUUUGCAACUUUUUGAUUCUGGUCAAUUAUUUCUUGCUUAACAAUAUUUGACUUAUUAAAGUCGUAUUUUGUCUUGCAUUAAGGGAGACAAAUCCUAAAACUUACAAAUUUAGACCUCUAUGAGUCAAAAGCAGAUUCAGACCUAUUUAUGUCUGAGCUCUGACUGUUGGAAGGGGGGCGAAAUUUUUUUUUUGGCCCUUUUUUAGGAUAAACAUAAAGUGUAUUUAGCACUUUUUAAAAGUCCUUGCAUGGGGCAUGCAUAUUUUGUAGUUGCUGUUAAGGUGUAAGGUUGGACAUUUUCGAUACUUAUUCUCCCUAUUAAGUUAUCAUAAAAUAUAUCAUGUAUCCAAAGCUAUGUACUGAUACAUUUAAUGUUGAUUUGUCAGUAAAACAUAACCAUGGAAAUUCUCGUGGUGUAUGUUGUAAGUUAAGUUAGAAUAACCUCACAGAUUUCUUGUUGUAAACACGAUAUAAGCUGGGCUAUUCGAUAGAAUUUGAAAUACGGACCGACACGAGUAAAAAACAUACAAGCAAUUUUAUCCAAAUGUUUGGUUGAUAUGUUUCACCACAACAUUAUGGAAGUAAAGGGUUCUAAAAUCAAUCUAAAGCUAAGAAUGAGUCUGAAAUGACAACGAAUUAUGAAUGACGGCCGAAAUAAAAUAAAAGUCACAUUCCAGCAGGCAGGUUGCAGUCUGGUCUUAAAAAGUAUUCAUAUAUAUCAGUUCGGCGAAACAGACAUUCGGUCAGACAUGAAACCCUGCACAAAAAAAAUACGCCUUUUAUUAUCAUGUAUCAUUAUUAAUUAUAUAAUGCUAAAUUCUGUUGGAUUAUUCGUUUCUAAUAGCAAAGAGUGGACAAGAUUUUUGUUUUGCGUCCAGAAUUUUUGUUUAGUAAUUUUUUUCGUUUGGGGUUAAACAUGUUUCCGCAGUUAGAUAAUAUUGCUGUGGAACGUUUUUUUCAUGAGAGUGUAAUAGUCUAGAGCAUUACUUUCUGUUUGGUGGAAUAGUGAAAUAGAAGUCAGUAUGUUCUUGUUAAAUCCUGUGUUGCUUCGAAGGUGUCAUGAUAGUCAUCCUCAGCCUACGCAAUGUGUUACUGUAACUUAGUUUGAAUUUCAAAAUGACUGAGAGAUGUUUUCUUCAACGCACUGCAGGUCAAAUCCACCAUAGCGAAUCACAUGACUUUGAUAAUCAGUAAAUUCCAGCGAAAAAUAUCUUUAUAAGUCAAGAAUUGUCGCAUAAAUAUUAAAUCGUAGUACACGGGAAAUGGCAAAGUUCACGAAAUCUAGUCUGAUUAAUCAUUUUACAUUAAAAAAAAGUCUGAGCAAAGGGGGAGCGUACGCCCUCUACGCCCCCCUCUGGAUCCGCCACUGCACUCUCAUGAAAAAAAGGUUCCUCAGCAAUUAUAUUUACCUACGAAAACAUGUUUAACUCGUAAGCCCCAUGAUGGCAUCCUAUUUAAAAAAUAACAGCUGAAUAAUGAUCCCUAUCAGUAUAGUCUCUAGAUAGAAAUGAUAGAUUUAAAUUCUAAGGUCACGAACCAUUUUGAUUGAGGAGGGCAGUCUAAAUAUUUGAGAGAUUAAAAAAUAGACUCUAAUUUUUGCAUUAAAUCAAAAAUUCUGGGUAUCUGGAUUGAAACAAUAAUCUGUCCAUUUUUUUGCUAUUAGAAACGAAUUCCAAAGAACUAUUAAGCAUUAAAUGACAUGAUAGAUAAACACAGGCGUAUUUUUUUUCCGGGUUUGCAUGUCUACGGAAUGUCUGGAUCGCCAACUGAUAUACUGAAUACUUUUUUCCAAGACCAGACUACAACGCUGCUGAAGUAGCCUUAAUGUCUAAUUUUUCGACCUCAUUCAUAUAUUUGUUGUCCGAUAUUUUUCAGACUCAUUCGUAGCUUAGGUUAUUUGGAAUCAUCACAAUCCCUUAAUUUUGUUGGGUGAAACAUAUAAAAACUUUGGAUAAAUAUUGCUUGUUUGUUUUUUUUUCUUGUUUUAGCUCGUGUCCGUCGUAUUGUAAAUUUUAUCGAAUAGCCCGACUUAUACAUCUAUCUUGUUUACAACAAGAAAUCUGUGAGGUUAUGAUAACUUAACUUACAGCAAACCAGCGAGAAUUUUCCAUGUCUUUUUUUACUGAAAAGUCCCACAUCAAAUUUAUCAGUAAAUAGCUUGAAAUCCGUACUAUCAUUUUAUGAUAGAUAAUUAAUAGGGAGAAUCACGUGACAGCAUCGAAAAUGUCCAACCCUUAAACCUUUCAGGAACUACAAAAUAUGCAUGCACCACACCAGGAAUCCUUUUAAAAGUGCAUAUUACACUUAUUUCAUGUUUUUUAGCCAAAAAAAAGUCCCCAAAAUUUUUUAAAAUCGCCCCCCUUCCAAAUCAAGCCAGACAUAAAUAGGGUCUGAAUCUGCUUUGACUCAUAGAGGUCUAAAUUUGAAGUUUUAGGAUUUUCUCUUAAUGCAAGACAAAAUACGACUUUAAUAAGUCAAUAUUGUUAAGCAAGAAAUAUGAUCCAGAAUCAAAGAAGUUGCAAAAUUCGACUCCUACAAGUGAUAAGUUAUAAAAUUGGUAAACUAAGACAGCAUAUUUAUAAAAAGUCACCAUCUAAAUCAAAUAAUACAACAUUGAAAAACAAUCUUGUCUUCUAGAGAAAAAUAUAAUGAGAGGUCUAAAAAACGAGAUAAUGUUAAAUAACUUACAAUGCACCACCUGGAACCACACUUAAUGAGGUAAAACAUCUGUGUUUAGUAAGGAUGUUCAAUUAGAUAAUUAAAUAUAGAUAGCUCAAGUCCUUGUGAACUCUCAGACAGGUUUUUGCUGUCAUAGGUGGUGUACUUUGGCCACCAAGUCAAAUUAAGUUUUUUCAUCAACAUAAAUAGACCUAAGCAAGUCUGUCAUUUUGUGACUUAGAUAAGUCUAAAAUUGAAAACAC